This is a long non-coding RNA of Biomphalaria glabrata, 738 nucleotides long. RefSeq lists it as uncharacterized. Lineage: Eukaryota; Metazoa; Mollusca; Gastropoda; Planorbidae. The record is from RefSeq and is a predicted model, not a curated record. The transcript is spliced from 3 exons.
GACUAUAUAUUACAUGGACUGCCAACUCUACGCACUAAGCCUAUAUUUUUCAAUAAACAAGUCCCGUUCACGGAGGCGUCCUUGGUUGCGUGGUAAAUUGACUUCCGGUAGAUUUUUUUUUACGUAUAAAGAAACCAUUCUCGAAGAUUUUUACCACCACUUUUACAGCAAAUCAUGAAUGGAAACUGAAUUGUUAAAGAAGAUGUUACAGAGGAGCAUACUACUUCCACAAACCUGAUUUGAUUGUCACUAACUUUCAAAUUGAAAGGGAUCUACUACAACUGCUCAUGAAUUUCGAGAUUUUACAGCUAAUAGAGGAACAAAUUUUAUCUGCUUCCACUUAGCCAAACAGCAUGGAAAUAUGCUAUUGUAAUGAGUAGAAGAUAUUUGUCAUUUAGAGUAUCAUGCAACAGCUAAUUAUCAGUCCACACAUUUCAAGAUGAGGAAAAGAACAGUAUAAGCUACAUUCAUUGAUGCAUUAUUUAUACAAAAAUGUAUAGUCAACCCAGUCAUCACUCCAUUUUUUUAUGAAGCCAGUUACAGUUACCAUGAAGGGAUGAAAUUUCAGAUAAUAUUUUGUUUAUUUCAUGAAAUGAGAAUAGGCCUACAUCAGAAAUUGAGAUGGUCAUCUUCAGUAUUUAAUGUUUCAUCUAAAAAUGAUAAUUAUAUUAAUACAUAUUUGAUGUACAAACAAAUGAAAACCAUUCAAACACUUUUUUUUGUGAAGUAUAGAGGAUU